This is a non-coding RNA of Cinara cedri, 298 nucleotides long. Lineage: Eukaryota; Metazoa; Arthropoda; Insecta; Hemiptera; Aphididae. The record is from the annotation of a GenBank genome assembly.
AGCCUGUCCAUGCAAGUUUGAACUACUGAAUGAUAUUUUCUAAAUAAUGCAUUUGCAAGUGGUAUAACUUUUUGACUGAAAUUAAUGAACGGGUCACAACAUCCAACCGUCGAAUAUCAGCAACUAUUAAAUUGAUAUCAAUAUAGUACACGUUUCGUAUAGAAUAAGUACUAAAUAAUGAGGGGGAAGGAGGACAUAUUAAAUAGUCAAUGGGCGAAAGGAAAAACGUAUAAAAAUCACAUUUUUCAUUCGGGUCUAAUAUAAUCUAAACCGACGAAGUGCAAAUAUCUAAAAUAUU